CACCGCGGUCAUACGAUUAACCCAAGUUAAUAGACAUACGGCGUAAAGAGUGUUAAAGGGUACAACAAUAAAAUAAAGCCAAGACUUAACUAAGAUGUAAAACCCUACAGUUAAAGUAAAAAUAAGCUACGAAAGUGGCUUUAAUAUUUCCUGAUUACACUAUAGCUAAGAUC
This 173-nucleotide ribosomal RNA is filed under the name Mogera wogura (Japanese mole). RNAcentral describes it as "partial 12S ribosomal RNA". Lineage: Eukaryota; Metazoa; Chordata; Mammalia; Eulipotyphla; Talpidae. The record is from RNAcentral.